This 71-nucleotide transfer RNA is filed under the name Synechococcus phage B3. It matches the Rfam family "tRNA". From Rfam's summary of the family: Transfer RNA (tRNA) molecules are approximately 80 nucleotides in length. Their secondary structure includes four short double-helical elements and three loops (D, anti-codon, and T loops). Further hydrogen bonds mediate the characteristic L-shaped molecular structure. tRNAs have two regions of fundamental functional importance: the anti-codon, which is responsible for specific mRNA codon recognition, and the 3' end, to which the tRNAs corresponding amino acid is attached (by aminoacyl-tRNA synthetases). tRNAs cope with the degeneracy of the genetic code in two manners: having more than one tRNA (with a specific anti-codon) for a particular amino acid; and 'wobble' base-pairing, i.e. permitting non-standard base-pairing at the 3rd anti-codon position. Lineage: Duplodnaviria; Heunggongvirae; Uroviricota; Caudoviricetes; Pantevenvirales; Kyanoviridae. The record is from Rfam by way of RNAcentral.
GUCUGGUUCGUCUAAUGGUAAGACCGGAGCUUCCAAACCUUUUGACGUGGGUUCGAUUCCUACACCAGGCG